Molecule: long non-coding RNA, 867 nt
Organism: Micropterus dolomieu (smallmouth bass)
Lineage: Eukaryota; Metazoa; Chordata; Actinopteri; Centrarchiformes; Centrarchidae
Exons: 3
Source: RefSeq, a predicted model, not a curated record
UGUUCAUCCACUGCCGUUUGUCUUGCUUGCCUCUGCAACCUUGUUUGUUGGAUUAUCCUUUUGUUCUGUCUUCCCCUGGAUCAUUUGUUAUGGACUGUGGUUUUUGCUGCUCUGUGGACAACCUUAGUUUGGACUCUGUUAGGAGUACCAAUUUUGCCCUCAACUAUACCAAAUGGAAUAAAGCAUUCAUCAGUCAGACAGCAGGCUUUGGGAGAAGAAGUACAGAUGGCACUGUACUGAUGUAGCAAUCUACUGAGCCUGAGCUGCAGCAGUCACCAGAUCCUUCUUAGCUGCAACAACAAUCUCCUGUUCCUUCUGAGCCGUAUGGGUCUGCUGAUCCUUCUAGGCUGUGGAAGUCUCCCGACACUGCUGAGUUGCUGAAGCAGCCCUCUGAUCAUGCUGAGCUGCAGCAGUCACUUGUUUCUGUGCUUUAGCAGCCUUCUUAUGCCCUGGCACCUCCGGCUUACCUGCCUGUCUUCCAGCUGUGCACUCCAGCCACCGGGAACCAGCUCUGCACUCCAGCUGCCCAACCCCAAGGCCAUCCGCCUUAGGUCUCCUGCUCCACCUAGGCCGUCCACCUGCCCAGGCCCCAGGCUGUCUGUCUUAGGUCUUGUGUUCCUCCCAGCACCCAGUCCAUUCACCCAAAAUCAGCUGCUCUGCCCAGCCCUCAGUCCGUCCACCUGAGGUCUUCUGCACCACCCCUGUUCUUCAGUUCUCCGGCCACUUGCUCCUUCUGUCAUAAGCCCUGCAGUUACCUGGCCUACUCCCCCAACUCCUCACCUGCAACUCAUUCCGUUCCUUAGCCAGUUCAUCUCAGCUGCCAUAUGCCUCAAUGCCUUGUUGGUUUUUUUUCUACAUCCCUGCGUA